GUGGAUAGUGUUUUUCUGAUGAAAUUUCACUGAAAAUUAAAACGUAAGGGGUUCAAAUUAUUUGAUGUUGUUUUUGGGUGCUAUAGAUUAAUGGUAUUUUUUAAAUUGGUAGCAGUGGGCGUUACUGUAUUUUAUGUGUAUAUCGUUAUAGGAAUGGGUAAAACAUGAAUGUUUGAUAGGUGUAUCUUGAAUUUUAAUUG
RNAcentral lists this long non-coding RNA (200 nucleotides) under Capsicum annuum. RNAcentral's name for it is "long non-coding RNA (CANN_LNC019435)". The record is from RNAcentral. Lineage: Eukaryota; Viridiplantae; Streptophyta; Magnoliopsida; Solanales; Solanaceae.